AUUUUAUUAGUAUAUAAAAAAGUACAUUUAACUUCCAAUUAAAAAGAAAUACAAUUAUAAAAUA
RNAcentral lists this transfer RNA (64 nucleotides) under Aposthonia borneensis. Its description in RNAcentral is "tRNA-Gly". The record is from RNAcentral. Lineage: Eukaryota; Metazoa; Arthropoda; Insecta; Embioptera; Oligotomidae.